Non-coding RNA from Myodes glareolus (Bank vole), 724 nucleotides. The record is from RefSeq and is a predicted model, not a curated record. Lineage: Eukaryota; Metazoa; Chordata; Mammalia; Rodentia; Cricetidae.
CGGCCGUUGAGUCCCGUUCAUUGUGAGCACAUCCCAGGGGACUUCAGAAUGGGCAUCACUAACUCCCUGGUCUCCAACCAUGUUCCAGCCUGCCUGGCUAAUGGAUCGUGGAGCCCUCCCCCAACACCCCAGAUCUUCAUCUCACUCCUCCUUCAGGCUUCCUCUUAGUUCUGGCUCAUGCACAGAAAUGUCAACAGCUCCAGACCAGCCCUGACGCAUACUUGGCACUUGGCGAGGCUUCUUGAAUUGAUGCAUGGGUACAGACACAGAGAGAUGGAGCAGGGGCCAUGGCUCGGAUCACCUUGGCCUUUUCUAGGCCUUCAGCCUUUCUGCAGUGUUGAGAGAUGUGGCCUGCAUUCCAGAAUGUUUCACUGAGUACAGGUUUCCUUUACCAGUGUGUAUGUGUGUGUGUGUGUGUGUGUGUGUGUGUGCGCGUGCGCAUGCGCACACAUGCGUGUGUGGUUUUUGCUCCCUAAGAGGACAUCUGGCAAUAUCUGGAGAUAUUUGAGAUCCCUAUGAGAGAACAACAUGGGCUACUGGCCUAUGGGCAUGUGGUGGGUAGAGACCAGAAGUCCUUUUCCAGAGCCCAAUAUAAUGUACAGAACGUCCACCAUAAGAAAUUAUAUAGACAAAAUGGCAACUACAUUGCAGUCUAGAAAUCCUGAUAUCGUCUAAUCAUGUUUGGAGUUAUUUCAUCUCACUUAAUAAAAUGCAAGUUUCUUCA